CCUACGGGAGGCAGCAGUGAGGAAUAUUGGACAAUGGGCGCAAGCCUGAUCCAGCCAUGCCGCGUGCAGGAAGAAGCAUCUAUGGUGUGUAAACUGCUUUUGUACAGGAAGAAACACUCCCUCGUGAGGGAGCUUGACGGUACUGUAAGAAUAAGGACCGGCUAACUCCGUGCCAGCAGCCGCGGUAAUACGGAGGGUCCGAGCGUUAUCCGGAAUCAUUGGGUUUAAAGGGUCCGUAGGCGGUUUAAUAAGUCAGUGGUGAAAUCUGGUCGCUCAACGAUCAAACGGCCAUUGAUACUGUUAGACUUGAAUUAUAAGGAAGUAACUAGAAUAUGUAGUGUAGCGGUGAAAUGCUUAGAUAUUACAUGGAAUACCAAUUGCGAAGGCAGGUUACUACUUAUGGAUUGACGCUGAUGGACGAAAGCGUGGGGAGCGAACAGGAUUAGAUACCCUGGUAGUCCACGCCGUAAAACGAUGGAUACUAGCUGUUCGGUAGCGAUACUGUAGUGGUCGUAGACGAAGUAGAUAAGUAA
RNAcentral lists this ribosomal RNA (533 nucleotides) under uncultured bacterium. RNAcentral describes it as "bacterial SSU rRNA". It matches the Rfam family "Bacterial small subunit ribosomal RNA", at positions 338 to 867 of the family's 1533-position model. The record is from RNAcentral.